AAUUAAAGAAAUUUUUAAGAAAAG
This 24-nucleotide transfer RNA is filed under the name Scarelus pseudoumbrosus. RNAcentral's name for it is "partial tRNA-Ser". The record is from RNAcentral. Lineage: Eukaryota; Metazoa; Arthropoda; Insecta; Coleoptera; Lycidae.